This 389-nucleotide ribosomal RNA is filed under the name uncultured bacterium. RNAcentral describes it as "bacterial SSU rRNA". It matches the Rfam family "Bacterial small subunit ribosomal RNA", at positions 28 to 417 of the family's 1533-position model. The record is from RNAcentral.
GACGAACGCUGGCGGCGUGCUUAACACAUGCAAGUCGAGCGGUAAGGCCCUUUCGGGGGUACGACGAGCGGCGAACGGGUGAGUAACACGUGGGUGACCUGCCCUCAGCUCUGGGAUAAGCCUGGGAAACCGGGUCUAAUACUGGAUAUGACUCCAUGACGCAUGUUGUGGGGUGGAAAGCCUUGUGCGGCUGAGGAUGGGCCCGCGGCCUAUCAGCUUGUUGGGUGGGGUGAGGCCUACCAAGGCGACGACGGGUAGCCGGCCUGAGAGGGCGACCGGCCACACUGGGACUGAGACACGGCCCAGACUCCUACGGGAGGCAGCAGUGGGGAAUCUUGCGCAAUGGGCGAAAGCCUGACGCAGCGACGCCGCGUGAGGGAUGACGGCCU